AAUACAUGCAAGUCGAGCGAACAGAAAAGGAGCUUGCUCCUUUGACGUUAGCGGCGGACGGGUGAGUAACACGUGGGCAACCUACCCUAUAGUUUGGGAUAACUCCGGGAAACCGGGGCUAAUACCGAAUAAUCUCUUUUGCUUCAUGGUGAAAGACUGAAAGACGGUUUCGGCUGUCGCUAUAGGAUGGGCCCGCGGCGCAUUAGCUAGUUGGUGAGGUAACGGCUCACCAAGGCGACGAUGCGUAGCCGACCUGAGAGGGUGAUCGGCCACACUGGGACUGAGACACGGCCCAGACUCCUACGGGAGGCAGCAGUAGGGAAUCUUCCACAAUGGGCGAAAGCCUGAUGGAGCAACGCCGCGUGAGUGAAGAAGGUUUUCGGAUCGUAAAACUCUGUUGUAAGGGAAGAACAAGUACAGUAGUAACUGGCUGUACCUUGACGGUACCUUAUUAGAAAGCCACGGCUAACUACGUGCCAGCAGCCGCGGUAAUACGUAGGUGGCAAGCGUUGUCCGGAAUUAUUGGGCGUAAAGCGCGCGCAGGCGGUCCUUUAAGUCUGAUGUGAAAGCCCACGGCUCAACCGUGGAGGGUCAUUGGAAACU
This 603-nucleotide ribosomal RNA is filed under the name Lysinibacillus fusiformis. RNAcentral describes it as "bacterial SSU rRNA". It matches the Rfam family "Bacterial small subunit ribosomal RNA", at positions 50 to 634 of the family's 1533-position model. Lineage: Bacteria; Bacillati; Bacillota; Bacilli; Caryophanales; Bacillaceae. The record is from RNAcentral.